Long non-coding RNA from Tympanuchus pallidicinctus (lesser prairie-chicken), 692 nucleotides. RefSeq lists it as uncharacterized. The record is from RefSeq and is a predicted model, not a curated record. The transcript has 3 exons. NCBI's taxonomy places the organism in Eukaryota, Metazoa, Chordata, Aves, Galliformes, Phasianidae.
CUCUUUUGGAGUAUUUGUUAAGCCCUCAUCCUUGGGACAGAUUUCAUACGUGAUCUUCAGCACAUCAUUUUGGAUUUGAUUCAGCACCAAGAUAAUGACAAUCUAAAUAUUUUGGUGCUAGAAGUUCUGUACAGUAGAGCAGCUUAUGAUGAACAUUUCCUGAUGAAUGGAAAUGUUGUCUGACAGUGCUUUUUGUUCUAUUUGAGAUAUACAAAUCACUGCUGAAAAUUUACAGAACAUCUACAUGAAUUUUGGAAGUAUGAAAAAAGCCUGUACUGGCAGUGGGGAGAUGCCUAUCUACAAUGAAGUUGGAGAAUGAUCUAACUAAGGAGACCCAGAUUGACCUUUCCAAAUAUCUGGCAUUAAAAUGCAUGUACAUGCAUAAUUAAUAUAUGUAGCCAUACUAUAAUUUUUAUUUUUAUUAUCGAUUCAACUUGAUGUAAUUUCUAGGUAUUAGCAUCCCCAUUUGACAAAUGUGGGGAAUUAUCUCAAUCAUGUUAGCUGUGAUUGUUCCAAUCAUUAAUUGAAGCCUCUUCAUUUUGGAAUUUAUUUUGAAUCAGACUUGAAUGUUGUAAGGUGCUGCCGUGUUACAAAAAAAAAAAAUCUAUAACUGACCUUCAGAUUUCAUGUAAGUAGCUUGCAUUAAGCAGUGGGCUGUGUAUCUUAUAUAGUAUUAGUACAGUAGACAGCUG